Molecule: ribosomal RNA, 304 nt
Filed under: uncultured bacterium
Lineage: Bacteria
Description: bacterial SSU rRNA
Rfam family: Bacterial small subunit ribosomal RNA
Source: RNAcentral
GAUGAACGCUAGCGGCAGGCCUAACACAUGCAAGUCGAGGGGCAGCACGUCUUCGGAUGGUGGCGACCGGCGCACGGGUGCGUAACGCGUAUGCAACCUACCUCUUACAGUGGGAUAGCCCAGAGAAAUUUGGAUUAAUACCGCAUAGUAUACAGAUUCAGCAUUGGGACUGUAUUAAACAUUUAUGGGUAAGAGAUGGGCAUGCGUUCUAUUAGUUAGUUGGAGUGGUAACGGCACCCCAAGACAGCGAUAGAUAGGGGCCCUGAGAGGGGAGUCCCCACAUUGGUACUGAGACACGGACCAG